This 428-nucleotide ribosomal RNA is filed under the name uncultured bacterium. RNAcentral describes it as "bacterial SSU rRNA". It matches the Rfam family "Bacterial small subunit ribosomal RNA", at positions 354 to 796 of the family's 1533-position model. The record is from RNAcentral.
GUGGGGGAUAUUGCACAAUGGGCGCAAGCCUGAUGCAGCAACGCCGCGUGCGGGAAGACGGCCUUCGGGUUGUAAACCGCUGUCCUUGGGGAAGAAACAAAUGACGGUACCCAAGAAGGAAGCCACGGCUAACUACGUGCCAGCAGCCGCGGUAAUACGUAGGUGGCAAGCGUUGUCCGGAUUUACUGGGUGUAAAGGGGGCGCAGGCGGGAAGCUAAGUUGGAUGUGAAAUACCGGGGCUCAACUCCGGAGCUGCAUCCAAAACUGGUUUUCUUGAGUGGAGUAGAGGCAAGCGGAAUUCCGAGUGUAGCGGUGAAAUGCGUAGAUAUUCGGAGGAACACCAGUGGCGAAGGCGGCUUGCUGGGCUCUAACUGACGCUGAGGCCCGAAAGCGUGGGGAGCAAACAGGAUUAGAAACCCUAGUAGUCC